RNAcentral lists this ribosomal RNA (253 nucleotides) under uncultured bacterium. Its description in RNAcentral is "partial 16S ribosomal RNA". It matches the Rfam family "Bacterial small subunit ribosomal RNA", at positions 524 to 776 of the family's 1533-position model. The record is from RNAcentral.
UACGAAGGGGGCUAGCGUUGCUCGGAAUUACUGGGCGUAAAGGGCGCGUAGGCGGUUCUAUAAGUCAGGCGUGAAAUUCCUGGGCUUAACCUGGGGGCUGCGCUUGAGACUGUGGGACUUGAGGUCAGAAGAGGGUCGUGGAAUUCCCAGUGUAGAGGUGAAAUUCGUAGAUAUUGGGAAGAACACCGGUGGCGAAGGCGGCGACCUGGUUCAUUACUGACGCUGAGGCGCGAAAGCGUGGGGAGCAAACAGG